GGGCGGGCGACGGGGCAGUCUGCCGCCCGACGCCGGCCGGCGCACACCGCACGCCGCCCGUGCCGCCCGCGCCGCCCGCGCUGAAAACUUCGUGAAGUGACACCGGCAUGUAUCGGAUUACGCAAGUGUGCUAGCUAUAAAUAUAUAAAGAUUCCUGACCCGUAACGUUGAGCACGGCGUUAAAAGCUUCAUAAAACAAUGUUGAAAAAAUGUUUAAAGAUGCAGAAUACGUUAUUGUAAAUGAGGAAAAUGAUUACCCAGUAAGAGAACACGCAGAAUGCAACCUGGGAGUUCCGGACUAACGUGAUGCAACUUGUAAUGCUAAACUUCUUAAUCAUGUUCGACAUAGUGUUCAUAUUUUUUCUGUUUCUAAUUGCGGUUACUUGUGUGAUGAACUACAUGCCUGGGAAGAGCAAGAGGCAGGAGGUGAUUGAGGAGGAGGUGGACGAUGACGUCAUCCCGCCGCCCCCGCUGUUCGAUGACGACUGCCUGCCGUCCACCAGCCGCGACACUUACGUCGUCAUUCCACCACCGUUGGACCACGUGGCUAAUGCUAAAGACGGGUGUCCUAUACACGUGGUGUAGUAUAAGCACUGAAUAAUAUAUCAACGUAGGAGUUUAUUACGAAGAAGCCUUAUGAGAAUGUAGAUGACAAAAACAAAAUGUAGGCAUUUUUUACCAAAUCGUCAUAUAUAUGUAAAAUUUCUUGUUACGUAAGACUAAAAGGUGGAAUUUUUGGGACUCAAGAGAAUGGUAUGUAGGUACUACCAAAUGACUCGGUUGUUCAAUAGGUUUGUCGAAGCGCUACCAAGAUAUUUACAGAUACGCUAUUUUGCGUCAAGUGCGAUAUUUAAAUACUUACUUGUUAUUUUCACUCGAUAUAUUUAAGUAGAUACAUUUACCGAGUAAGGAACCGAUUCUAUAGUUAAAACGUAACGCCUAAUUGUUUGGUAAACUUUAAAUUAGUAACCAAACUGAUUUAUAUUGUGUUAGCCUAUCCAACUUAUUUACUGCCCACAUUGACAUAGAUAUCUAGGGACUGGCUUUACGGGCAAUAAUAAUGAUGCAUAAGAGGGGCCAGUACAGCGGUGUGACACCGCUACAACGCGAUUGGUUGAUGAGUUCGUAACACGCACGCGAUUGGUUGAGGAGUUCGCAUUACGCGCGCUGUUGGUCGCAACUGGUUGCGUUAGACUGCACGAAUUCGCUGGCUGGCUUGGCUAGAAUUCGUGAGUAACACCGCUGAACUAGUACCAUUUUUAGUGCCC
Long non-coding RNA from Cydia splendana, 1268 nucleotides. RefSeq lists it as uncharacterized. Lineage: Eukaryota; Metazoa; Arthropoda; Insecta; Lepidoptera; Tortricidae. The transcript is spliced from 3 exons. The record is from RefSeq and is a predicted model, not a curated record.